RNAcentral lists this ribosomal RNA (164 nucleotides) under uncultured eukaryote. RNAcentral's name for it is "partial 18S ribosomal RNA". It matches the Rfam family "Eukaryotic small subunit ribosomal RNA", at positions 1487 to 1650 of the family's 1831-position model. The record is from RNAcentral.
CCGCACGCGCGCUACACUGAUACGUUCAUCGAGCUUACAACCUUGACUGAGAGGUCUGGGUAAUCUUUUGAAAUCGUAUCGUGCUGGGGAUAGAUUAUUGUAAUUAUUAAUCUUCAACGAGGAAUUCCUAGUAAACGCGAUUCAUCAGAUCGCAUUGAUUACGU